AACGCUAGCUACAGGCUUAACACAUGCAAGUCGAGGGGCAGCAUGAACUUAGCUUGCUAAGUUUGAUGGCGACCGGCGCACGGGUGAGUAACGCGUAUCCAACCUUCCGUACACUCAGGAAUAGCCUUUCGAAAGAAAGAUUAAUACCUGAUGGUAUGAUGAGAUUGCAUGAAAUCAUCAUUAAAGAUUCAUCGGUGUACGAUGGGGAUGCGUUCCAUUAGAUAGUAGGCGGGGUAACGGCCCACCUAGUCAACGAUGGAUAGGGGUUCUGAGAGGAAGGUCCCCCACAUUGGAACUGAGACACGGUCCAAACUCCUACGGGAGGCAGCAGUGAGGAAUAUUGGUCAAUGGGCGCGAGCCUGAACCAGCCAAGUAGCGUGAAGGAUGAAGGUCCUACGGAUUGUAAACUUCUUUUAUAAGGGAAUAAAGUCACCUACGUGUAGGUGUUUGUAUGUACCUUAUGAAUAAGCAUCGGCUAACUCCGUGCCAGCAGCCGCGGUAAUACGGAGGAUGCGAGCGUUAUCCGGAUUUAUUGGGUUUAAAGGGAGCGUAGACGGGUCGUUAAGUCAGCUGUGAAAGUUUGAGGCUCAACCUUAAAAUUGCAGUUGAUACUGGCGUCCUUGAGUACGGUUGAGGCAGGCGGAAUUCGUGGUGUAGCGGUGAAAUGCUUAGAUAUCACGAAGAACUCCGAUUG
RNAcentral lists this ribosomal RNA (694 nucleotides) under uncultured bacterium. Its description in RNAcentral is "bacterial SSU rRNA". It matches the Rfam family "Bacterial small subunit ribosomal RNA", at positions 32 to 715 of the family's 1533-position model. The record is from RNAcentral.